Molecule: long non-coding RNA, 1481 nt
Filed under: Salmo salar (Atlantic salmon)
Lineage: Eukaryota; Metazoa; Chordata; Actinopteri; Salmoniformes; Salmonidae
Description: lncRNA (ENSSSAG00000077338.2)
Source: RNAcentral
GGGGUGUUUACUGUUGAGUGAGGGUCUACUACUCUGGAUGAAGAAUAUUUAGCUUGAAGUAGAGGCAAAGGCACGAAGGUGAAACCUGACAUAACUUCCGGGAGGAGUCUGGAACUAUAGAACGGUGCCGAUACAUCUCUAUGACAACCACAACGCGUUCUCUGCAUUCUCCUGCGCUUUUACGAAGCUCUCCAAAGAAACGGAGGGAAACUCAGGUCAGACUCAGAGACCAACAAUUUCAAUCUAUCCAGAGCUACAUGACGUAAAGAAAAGGGUCUCAUCGGUACAGUCAGCCCCAGAUGAGCAUCUGUCCCAGGGGGAGAUCAAGGCCCUGCUCCCCCGGAGGCUGGUGGAGAGGGUAGAGGAUGUGAGGGCAGCGUUCAAAGGCCUGGACCCUGAGGGGAGCGGCUCAGUGACCCGGGGGGAGUUCAGACAGGUGGUGGAGGCCUUCCUCUUCCCCCUCACGCAGACCCAGCUCAACGCCAUGCUGGCCAUGAUUGGGAGCAACCUGAAGAAUGUAAUCCGGGCCUUUCGUCUGUUCGACUACAACCCGAGACGGACAGAUCCAGCAACACGAGCUGCGCAGGAUACUGGAGAACUACUGCUUCCCUUUAACACAGAGAGACUACCAGAGAUAAAACGGACUAUGAUUUCAUCUCCUCUCCACUGCAGACUGUGGACCCACUAAAGCCCUAACGUCAUGGCAACAAUGUCCUACAAAGUGUUCCUGGAGAAGCUGGGCCUGGAAUCUAACAGGUACAGGAAGACUGUCCCGGAGCCUCCAAAGCUAGCGUUGGGCUGGCUAGGAAUUAGUCCUCCAGACAAGACAAAACGGAGGAACAGAGCAGCGUCCCAGGACAACAACAGGAGAUACACAGGAGAUCCAAAGCCUGACUCAAGACAAGCUGCAGAUGCUCUUCCUGGAAAAAGUUGUGUGUGAGCUGUACCCUAGUGUGACGAGCACUGCAAGCAUUUGAUGUCACCCACUCUGGACUGGUGUCACAGGAAGACCUGAGGGCCAUGCUCAGCAGCUUCCUGUUUCCCAUGAGCCUCAGCACCUUCCAGAGCCUGACCUGCCGCAUAGGGAGGAUCACCAGGGCAGACCUUCGUCAGGCUUUGGAAGUCCCCCAGUAUAACCUGAGGGGUCCCCAGGGCUCCUGGUCCAGCCGCAGGGAGCCCCACACCCCCAGGCCCCGUCUGAGCCCAGCCCAGGUCAGAGAGCUUCUGAUCCUGCUGGACCCAGAGCACACUGGGGUCAUCACCCAGCCCAGCCUGAAGCUGCUCAACCCCAGGAGGGUGCACAGGAGAUCAUGGAGGAUGUGGCUCAGGGACAGGAAGUUCAGUGUAUGUGUGUGUGUUUGUUGAUGUGUUGGCACAUGCUCAUGUGUGUGUCUGUUGACUAAGGAGGAGCAGAGGGAGUUGAAUGAGACUCAGUAUCCACAGUGGAUUGAAAAGGCACCCACGGCAGCAGACACAUGGAC